Molecule: ribosomal RNA, 691 nt
Filed under: Salmonella enterica subsp. enterica serovar Dublin
Lineage: Bacteria; Pseudomonadati; Pseudomonadota; Gammaproteobacteria; Enterobacterales; Enterobacteriaceae
Description: partial 23S ribosomal RNA
Rfam family: Bacterial large subunit ribosomal RNA
Source: RNAcentral
ACCGUGAGGGAAAGGCGAAAAGAACCCCGGCGAGGGGAGUGAAAAAGAACCUGAAACCGUGUACGUACAAGCAGUGGGAGCACAGGUUUACCUGUGUGACUGCGUACCUUUUGUAUAAUGGGUCAGCGACUUAUAUUCUGUAGCAAGGUUAACCGAAUAGGGGAGCCGGAGGGAAACCGAGUCUUAAUUGGGCGUUAAGUUGCAGGGUAUAGACCCGAAACCCGGUGAUCUAGCCAUGGGCAGGUUGAAGGUUGGGUAACACUAACUGGAGGACCGAACCGACUAAUGUUGAAAAAUUAGCGGAUGACCUGUGGCUGGGGGUGAAAGGCCAAUCAAACCGGGAGAUAGCUGGUUCUCCCCGAAAGCUAUUUAGGUAGCGCCUCGUGAAUUCAUCUCCGGGGGUAGAGCACUGUUUCGGCUAGGGGGCCAUCCCGGCUUACCAACCCGAUGCAAACUGCGAAUACCGGAGAAUGUUAUCACGGGAGACACACGGCGGGUGCUAACGUCCGUCGUGAAGAGGGAAACAACCCAGACCGCCAGCUAAGGUCCCAAAGUCAUGGUUAAGUGGGAAACGAUGUGGGAAGGCCCAGACAGCCAGGAUGUUGGCUUAGAAGCAGCCAUCAUUUAAAGAAAGCGUAAUAGCUCACUGGUCGAGUCGGCCUGCGCGGAAGAUGUAACGGGGCUAAACCAU